CAGGGAGACAAUAAAUUGAUUGUGAUGUCUAAGUUAUUUAUUCUUAGGCCGCAAUCCUGUCACCUUAAGGUCGAUCGGUACCUCAGAUUUUUGAAUUAGUUUUAUAAUUGAUUCUUUGAUUUCAGUUCCUAAACUUGUCUAGGUCACACCCAACAAAGGUUUCUCCUGGGCCAUUAGCUCAGGUGGUUAGAGCGCACCCCUGAUAAGGGUGAGGUCCCUGGUUCAAGUCCAGGAUGGCCCAUUCGUUGUUGGGGGUAUAGCUCAGUUGGUAGAGCGCCUGCUUUGCAAGCAGGAUGUCAGCGGUUCGAGUCCGCUUACCUCCACUGAAAACUAUCCAGAUAACUAAAUUCUGGAGAAAAAUUGUAGAUGUGGCUUAGAAUUGUCUAAUUGAAUAGAACCUAGCUUCUUAUCAUCUUUUUAUAGUUGAUAAAAUGCUGGGCUCGCAUGGAUUAUUUCCAUGAGAAUUCAGUAGAACCUUGAAAACUGCAUAGAUUAGAAAGAAUAAAGCAUCUCAUGGAUGCAUAAUUCUGUUUUUAUAAUUUAGCCUUAAAACUAAAUUAUUUAAUUCUAGAAUUCAUGUUUAAUUCUUGAGUAAAAGCCGAGCACAAUUGAUUUUGUGAUUGUAUUUAAG
RNAcentral lists this transfer RNA (631 nucleotides) under uncultured Prochlorococcus sp. RNAcentral describes it as "16S-23S ribosomal RNA intergenic spacer". The stretch from base 251 to 323 matches the Rfam family "tRNA". Lineage: Bacteria; Bacillati; Cyanobacteriota; Cyanophyceae; Synechococcales; Prochlorococcaceae. The record is from RNAcentral.